CUCGGGCUAAUACCGAAUGUGCCCUCUGGCCUCAAUGCCUCUGGGGAAAGUGAAGCUUCGGGCCUCCGCAUCGGGAUGGGCCCGCGGCGCAUUAGCUUGUUGGUGAGUGUAACGGCUCACCAAGGCGACGAUGCGUAGCUGGUCUGAGAGGACGAUCAGCCACACUGGGACUGAGACACGGCCCAGACUCCUACGGGAGGCAGCAGUGGGGAAUCUUGCGCAAUGCGCGAAAGCGUGACGCAGCAACGCCGCGUGGGGGAAGAAGGCCUUCGGGUUGUAAACCCCUUUCAGUUGGGACGAAGCUUCGGCGGUGAAUAGCCGUUUGGAGUGACGGUACCUUCAGAAGAAGCCCCGGCUAACUACGUGCCAGCAGCCGCGGUAAUACGUAGGGGGCAAGCGUUGUCCGGAAUCAUUGGGCGUAAAGAGCGUGUAGGCGGCUUGGUAAGUCCGCUGUGAAAGUCCAGGGGCUCAACCCUGGAAUGCCGGUGGAAACUGUCA
RNAcentral lists this ribosomal RNA (498 nucleotides) under uncultured Rubrobacteria bacterium. Its description in RNAcentral is "bacterial SSU rRNA". It matches the Rfam family "Bacterial small subunit ribosomal RNA", at positions 157 to 638 of the family's 1533-position model. Lineage: Bacteria; Bacillati; Actinomycetota; Rubrobacteria. The record is from RNAcentral.